Molecule: ribosomal RNA, 253 nt
Filed under: uncultured bacterium
Lineage: Bacteria
Description: partial 16S ribosomal RNA
Rfam family: Bacterial small subunit ribosomal RNA
Source: RNAcentral
UACGAAGGGAGCUAGCGUUGUUCGGAAUCACUGGGCGUAAAGCGCACGUAGGCGGAUGUGUCAGUCAGGGGUGAAAUCCCGGAGCUCAACUUCGGAACUGCCUUUGAUACAGCACGUCUUGAGUCCGGAAGAGGUGGGUGGAAUUCCUAGUGUAGAGGUGAAAUUCGUAGAUAUCAGGAGGAAUACCUAUGGCGAAAGCAGGUAUCUGGGCCAUCACUGACGCUGAGCUGCGAAAGCUAGGGGAGCAAACAGG